CGUUCGCGCUUCCGCCGGCGACCGGCGCACGGGUGAGUAACACGUAUGGAACCUGCCCGCAGCAGGGGGAUAAUCGGGGGAAACCCCGUCUAAUACCGCGUAACGACCCGGAGGGGCAUCCCUUCGGGUCCAAAGGUUUACCGGCUGCGGAUGGCCAUGCGUCGCAUUAGCUGGUUGGCGGGGUAACGGCCCACCAAGGCGACGAUGCGUAGGGGUUCUGAGAGGAAGGUCCCCCACACUGGUACUGAGACACGGACCAGACUCCUACGGGAGGCAGCAG
This 280-nucleotide ribosomal RNA is filed under the name uncultured bacterium. RNAcentral's name for it is "partial 16S ribosomal RNA". It matches the Rfam family "Bacterial small subunit ribosomal RNA", at positions 77 to 354 of the family's 1533-position model. The record is from RNAcentral.